Molecule: long non-coding RNA, 289 nt
Organism: Siniperca chuatsi (mandarin fish)
Lineage: Eukaryota; Metazoa; Chordata; Actinopteri; Centrarchiformes; Sinipercidae
Exons: 3
Source: RefSeq, a predicted model, not a curated record
UGCUUCGCUGUCUCACUUUCACUCCCCUUCAUUCUGUCUGCUCAGUCAUCCUAAUGUGUUUCUUGUGGUGUCCCUAUCCAGUGCUGGAAUGUAACAUUACAUUAAACCCGCUGGUGUUUCUUGCCCCUUCAGACCCCGACCCCAGCAAUUAACAAGCUUGGUGGGCUGCUGAUUUCACUCACAUUGUUUGGAAAAGGCCACAGGCUGGGAGGCUGCUUUGCUGGGAUCCCUGACCCAGAUAGGUGAACGUAGUCCAGUCUGCCGAAGAAGCUCCAAGGCUCCUUCCCGU